RNAcentral lists this ribosomal RNA (1502 nucleotides) under Klebsiella pneumoniae. Its description in RNAcentral is "bacterial SSU rRNA". It matches the Rfam family "Bacterial small subunit ribosomal RNA". Lineage: Bacteria; Pseudomonadati; Pseudomonadota; Gammaproteobacteria; Enterobacterales; Enterobacteriaceae. The record is from RNAcentral.
CUGAUCAACAUCGUCACCAUCUUCCUCGGGCUGUCGGUGGGGGCCAAGCUGGUGGCGGACAAGUUCCUGCAGCCGCAGACGCUGGGGAUCCUGGUGCUGGGGGUGAUCGCCUUCUGCGUGGGGACCGCCGCCGGGGUGCUGAUGGCGAAGCUGAUGAACGUGUUCAGCCGGCACAAAAUCAACCCGCUGAUCGGCUCGGCGGGGGUGUCGGCGGUGCCGAUGGCGGCUCACCUAGGCGACGAUCCCUAGCUGGUCUGAGAGGAUGACCAGCCACACUGGAACUGAGACACGGUCCAGACUCCUACGGGAGGCAGCAGUGGGGAAUAUUGCACAAUGGGCGCAAGCCUGAUGCAGCCAUGCCGCGUGUGUGAAGAAGGCCUUCGGGUUGUAAAGCACUUUCAGCGGGGAGGAAGGCGGUGAGGUUAAUAACCUCAUCGAUUGACGUUACCCGCAGAAGAAGCACCGGCUAACUCCGUGCCAGCAGCCGCGGUAAUACGGAGGGUGCAAGCGUUAAUCGGAAUUACUGGGCGUAAAGCGCACGCAGGCGGUCUGUCAAGUCGGAUGUGAAAUCCCCGGGCUCAACCUGGGAACUGCAUUCGAAACUGGCAGGCUAGAGUCUUGUAGAGGGGGGUAGAAUUCCAGGUGUAGCGGUGAAAUGCGUAGAGAUCUGGAGGAAUACCGGUGGCGAAGGCGGCCCCCUGGACAAAGACUGACGCUCAGGUGCGAAAGCGUGGGGAGCAAACAGGAUUAGAUACCCUGGUAGUCCACGCCGUAAACGAUGUCGAUUUGGAGGUUGUGCCCUUGAGGCGUGGCUUCCGGAGCUAACGCGUUAAAUCGACCGCCUGGGGAGUACGGCCGCAAGGUUAAAACUCAAAUGAAUUGACGGGGGCCCGCACAAGCGGUGGAGCAUGUGGUUUAAUUCGAUGCAACGCGAAGAACCUUACCUGGUCUUGACAUCCACAGAACUUUCCAGAGAUGGAUUGGUGCCUUCGGGAACUGUGAGACAGGUGCUGCAUGGCUGUCGUCAGCUCGUGUUGUGAAAUGUUGGGUUAAGUCCCGCAACGAGCGCAACCCUUAUCCUUUGUUGCCAGCGGUUAGGCCGGGAACUCAAAGGAGACUGCCAGUGAUAAACUGGAGGAAGGUGGGGAUGACGUCAAGUCAUCAUGGCCCUUACGACCAGGGCUACACACGUGCUACAAUGGCAUAUACAAAGAGAAGCGACCUCGCGAGAGCAAGCGGACCUCAUAAAGUAUGUCGUAGUCCGGAUUGGAGUCUGCAACUCGACUCCAUGAAGUCGGAAUCGCUAGUAAUCGUAGAUCAGAAUGCUACGGUGAAUACGUUCCCGGGCCUUGUACACACCGCCCGUCACACCAUGGGAGUGGGUUGCAAAAGAAGUAGGUAGCUUAACCUUCGGGAGGGCGCUUACCACUUUGUGAUUCAUGACUGGGGUGAAGUCGUAACAAGGUAACCGUAGGGGAACCUGCGGUUGGAUCACCUCCUUA